RNAcentral lists this long non-coding RNA (296 nucleotides) under Populus trichocarpa (black cottonwood). RNAcentral's name for it is "long non-coding RNA (PTRI_LNC003656)". Lineage: Eukaryota; Viridiplantae; Streptophyta; Magnoliopsida; Malpighiales; Salicaceae. The record is from RNAcentral.
ACGGUUUGAUAGGAGCUAGGAGUGGAGGAGAUAGAUGAAGGGUUCAUUUAAUCCUUUAUUUGGCCUGCUCUCCACUUGGUUUUUCUAGGGUUUUCAUGCUACGAGAAUGCCUUCAGCCAGGAGGAAAAGCCCUGUGAUAUGGUGCGGGAAACUGUCUGUAGUCUUCUCACUCUCAGUUCACUAAAUUACGCAGCAUUUAGAACUCUCAAAGGGAUCUCUUUCUGUGAGCCUUCAAUGUUUGUAGUUCCUCCCCAGUGUACUGUGAGCCUUCUUCACCAAGCCUGUGUAAGAACUAC